UAAUAGGAUACACUGGAAACUUAAGAAGUG
Molecule: non-coding RNA, 30 nt
Filed under: Mus musculus (house mouse)
Lineage: Eukaryota; Metazoa; Chordata; Mammalia; Rodentia; Muridae
Source: RNAcentral